Ailuropoda melanoleuca (giant panda) is the source of this 5861-nucleotide long non-coding RNA. RefSeq lists it as uncharacterized. The record is from RefSeq and is a predicted model, not a curated record. NCBI's taxonomy places the organism in Eukaryota, Metazoa, Chordata, Mammalia, Carnivora, Ursidae. The transcript has 3 exons.
GCCCUGAGCCGAAGGCAGACGCUCAACCGCCGUGCCACCCAGGCGCCCCUGGAGGCCUAUCCUGUCCCCCGUCUGCCCUGCCCCGUCCCUGCCCCCGCACUGGCUGCUCACCUGGCUCUUGUGGAUGGAUAUUGCCCAGGCCAGCUGGAGGGGCAGCUGCCGCCGGCUGAGGAGCUGGCCCCCAGUAGCCUGCACAGUCCAGCGGUCAGCAUGGAUGACCUCAGUGACUCCGCACAGGAAGCGCACCUGGGGCAGCCCUGAGGGAGGCGUGGAGAAGUCCCACCUUUUGGCCUUGCUGCAGGGCUCAGAGGUGAGGAGCAGGCCUUACCCCUUCAUCCUAGCCUUCUCCUCGCAUGUACCCCAGGGUCUGCUGCAAACCCAAGCAGUGGGACUGGUCUCCCAUCGCUUACCUCUCCCCUCGGUCUCGAACCCGAUGACCACCCCCCGGGCACCAUUCACCAGGCCCCGGGACACUGCUAAGUUCUUCACUAACAUCACCUGCAAGGGAAAGCGAACUUGAGGCACGGACAGCAGCCCAUUCCCACACCUGGCCUCAGCUCCAGCAGUCGCUGCGGCAAUUCCAGGCGGCUGGGGGCACUCCCGGAGAGGCACUGAGUCCUAAUCCUUAACUCUGUCACCGGCUGACUGUGACCCCUGUGGCAAGCUGCUUUAUUUUCCCCGGUCUCAGGUGCCCCUAGAGUCAAAGGGGAAUGACAUUUGCUGUUUGCCUCAGGAGGGGGUAAGGAACAAUAAGGUAAUGGACAUCACAAGGCUCUAAAAAUGACUAUGUCUGUUAUGGGGUAUGCGUAUAGGCCGACAUCGUGAGGGAUAGCCCCAGGUCCUGUCACCCUCUUCCAGCCCCUAAGUGCCCUUCAGAACCUGAGGAAAGUCUCCCAUUUGGCCCACCCCAACAUCAUGGGAAGAAGCAGGGCUCUCUCACACCAUAAAGAUGCAGAAACUGAGCUUCAGCAAGGGAAAGGGGCUUGUCCAAAGCAUUGUUGCUGGUGCCCCAGGCCUAGCAAGAAGAGGGCAGUGGGAGGCUGAAGAUAGGAAGGCAGUGGGAGCAGGAGGGAGGGAGUACACUGGGGUCGCGGCUGGGCCCUCUGGCUAUGGAGCUGCCUGGGCCGAGGGGAAAGACCGGGAAGCCCAGGCCCCCCAGGUCUUGGCUCUGCUUCCCACUCACCUGGGCCCCCAGCUUUAGUUGAAGGAUCUGGCUAACUGGACACUGGGCAUCCAGGGUCCGGGCUUGCUCAGGGUCACUGUCCAUGGCCUUAAAGCUGUGUACCUCACCUAGGAAAAAAGAGUUGGGCAAACAGAUUACAAGUCACUGACUUGUGGCUCAGUUUCUAAAACCAUGUAUUAGACCAGGGUGUAGAAGGUGGUAGUGGGGACAGAUCAGGCUGGGGCUUUGGAAUCAAGGGCCUGGGUUCAAGUGUCACUUCCAGUAUUUAUUGGCUCAGUGACCUUGACCUGUUCAAGGUCACACCUCUCAAAGUCACAGUUACAUCUGCAAAUGUAAGGGCCUUUAUGGCUAGAGAGGUUGGGGGCCUAAAUACCCAAAUGGCCCCAAAGGCCCAUGCUGUUGGGUGGGGGUGGGGGACCAAUACCUGCCUGAUGGGCCCUCCCAGCUGGUCUUGCCCAGCCCUGGCUCCCUGCUCACCUGGCAGUUCCCGCAGUCGCCUCUCAUUGGUGAGGGCCACAUCAUCCUGGUGAGUGCAGAGCCUUGUGGCCACAAUCCCAUCUCGCCCCACCUUGUGGGAGGCUGUGGCCUGGAGCUGGCGGGUCACUUCAUCUGAGCACCUGUAGGGGCUGGGCUAUCAGGGCAGAGCCCACCUGAACACCAGGAAAGGCAGGGCACAUGGCUGAUAUGGCCCAAGCAGUAGGCCAUGGGUCAGACUUGGGGAUUAGAAAGGGGCACCAGGCCAAAAUGUGCUGGCCCCCAGGCCAAAAUGUGCUGGCCCCCAGGCUGGCCAACUUGCCUUUCCCCACCUGGACCCCAGACAUGGGGAAUGAUCAUGGGCAGGCACCCUUUCCUGUGAAUGGCCCCAGAUAGGAGCUAGCCACUCUCCCACCGCAGUGCUCCUGAGGAAGUUGGAUAUGACAAGUGAGCCCAGGCCAGAGGUUCAGAGGACCUGGACAAGGCACUGAUGUUGAUACCCUGUCAUACUGGUAGACUAUAAUCAGACUGGCCUCCUGGCUACAAUCUUCUAGCCUCUUGCUUGCUGCCUUGGGGGCAAAAAUCUAGCCUGUGCUUUUCUUUAUUUCUUCCUUUCUUUUUUAAGUUUGGUUAUUUAUUUAUUUAUUUAUUUAUUUUUAUUUAAAUUCAAUUAGCCAAUGUAUAGUACGUCAUUAGUAUUUGAUAUAAUGUUUAAUGAUACUUAUUUAUCUAUUUAAGUAAUCUCUACACCCAAUGUGGGGUUCAAACUCCUAACCCCAAGAUCAAGACCCACUUGCUUCUCUGACUGAGCCAGUCAGGUGCCCCUAGCCUAUGUUUCUAUUUCAAGCCUUCAUCCACAUGGAGAAGCCUGGGUGCAACAGCAAAUAACAUGGGAGAAGGGGGAAUAACUUAAGACCUACAUCUCUCUUUGCUCUGCCACUCAAUCUUCCCCUUGUUCCCCACAUAUGUGGGUGUGUGCUGUGUACCUUCCUAGCUGCCUCAUAUGUCUGUGACAGGGGUCCCUAAGCAUAGAAAGUCCCUCAUUACCACCACCUCCUCCCCCCAUCCUGUCCCAAUCUGGUUUUCAAGGACUACCUGGUCUUCUACCUUCCUGGCCUCCUGCAUGCUGGCACAUUAGAGUAGUCCUGGCAUUUCAACUUUUUGUCCUAGCUGGGGUGGGAUCGUGCCUGCAAACUCUCUCCCUCACCAAGUGACCCCACAGGCUCUAAGGGUGGAAGGAACUUGGGUUUUAGAGUCAGGCCAGGUUCAAAACCCAGCCUAGUCAUUUACUGGCUGGAACCUGGGGCAAGUCACUUCACCCUUCUGAACCCUCUGUUUCUGCAUCUAUGAAAUAGGAGUGUUAACAUCUCUGAUUUCUUCUUGUGUAUCUAUGUGCCCAUAUUCCCUGACACCUACUCUGUGCUGGGUGAUGGGGACCCAACCUUGGAGGAGGCAGGGUCCCAGUGCUCAGAGAGUGACCAUCUUCUAUGGGGCCAUGAAGCACUUUUCCUCCUUCUCUGGGUCCCUGUGCUCCUCCAUAACCCAUGCUUGAAUCCUCAUCCCAUGGUCCCUUCUCUGUUCACCAGAGCCCACCUUCCCAGCCUGACAGCCUGCAGCAGAGAGAUGAAGGUCUGGUCUGCCUGCCUCCGCACCUCGGUCAGCUCCAGGGUGACUGGGACACACCUUCUCCAGCUCUUGGCCUGGUGGGGACAAGCUUGUCAAACAGGUCUGCCUCCACCAUGGAGAUCUCAUCGAUGACUAGCCGCUGGCAGUUCAGCCAGCCCUGCCUCACAGCUGGACGCUGGGCCAGGGCCACACACUGGGCCAGGGGAGCCUGGCCUGAGCCGAUGCCUGCAAGUGAUACUAUUCGGCCUGAGACCCUAGCCCUGUCCCAACCUUGACACCCUCUCCCUUCUCACAGGCCUGGCUGGCUUCCAGCUCAAGCCCCAGAGGUCCCCGCUUACCUGCAAAGGCAUGGAGGGUGGUACCCCCGAUAUGGCAGGCUGCCACCCCAGUGCUGGCAGUAGCCACAGUACCUGUGGGAGGCAGUGAGCCCAGGAUACGCUUCAGCAGAUAAGACUUCCCUGUCCCUGGGCAGAGGGUAAAGUCAAGGUCACCAGCUCCUGCAUCUUACCCCAUCACUGCCCCCCCCCACUGACCCCCAGUACCUGCACUCCCAGUGAAGAAGAUGCUCUGGCCUUUCAGGACAACCCUCAGCACAGCAGCCUGUUCCUCAGAAAGCUGUGGUUUGGUGGGAGGCAGGCUCAGCCUCUUCACAGGCAAGGGCCACCUUGGGGCUUCCUGUGGGGGGGACAGGACUGUCUCAGGGCUUCCUACUACUGUUAGGCAUUGCCCCUCCCUUCUUAGCCCGGGUGCCAUGCUAGGCCUGGUAGCCCUUUGUGUCUCUGCUGGUUUCACUCCUUGAAGCCCGUGGGCAGCUUUGGUUCCCCUGGAGAUCUUACCAGUAACUACUCGGGGCCAGGUCUCUCCUUGAGGAAGGGAUCAUGGCUGGGUCUCCACUGAUCCCUGGUGCCCUGGUGACUGCCCUAUGUGGGUCUAGAUCCUCCCUUCGUUCCCUCCCCUGUUCUCCCUAAAUCUCUUGGUUCUCUCAUAAGGUCCUUCCUUCUCAUUUCUCUUCCUGUCACAAACCUGCCUGCCUCAGCGCAAAACCCUGCCUGCCCGGGGCCCUUUCUUGCUCCUUCUUCUCCCCAGCUUAGUCUCAAAUCCCUGUGGUCUGUGAUCCAUCUGCCCCAGUUCACAAACACUGCAAGACCUUCCAGACUUUGUCCACCCGAACUGAUCAGACCUGUUGGCGGCGCCUGACACUGCUGACCACUUCUCUCCAAAAGCUCCUCUCCUUCUCCAGGCCCAACAGCCUCCUACCUUCUCUUCUGAAGUCACCUUUCUAGGCCUCCUUCUCUACUUUCUCUUUUACCGUGACGUAGGCCCUCUUCUCCUAGUCUAGCUUACUCGGGGAUUGCGCUCAGGAACACGCGCACAAUUCCCACAUCCCUGUCAUACUCAGAUGUCCGAUGGGCAUCUCCUCUGAGAUAACCAGCAACCCCCUCCCAUACUGCCACCAUCUUCCCCCCUAAACUGGGGCCUCCUGGGUCUCCUCCACCUCGGGCACACCCACUCCCUGAGGCGUCCCCCCUUCCUGUCCUCACAGCGCUGGGCUCGGCUCCGGCCCGGGGUUCCGUGGGGCGCUUCACGGGCGUGGCGUGCGGGACCCGGGUGGCCACCGCGCGCCGCAGCUCCUCGGGCUGCACGGGGCUGACGGUGACGAAGUCGCGGGGCCGCGGGCCAAGCAGCUGCGCGCGGGCGGAGGCCGGCCCAGGCCCCGGGGCUGCGGCCAGCUUGAGGCGCAGCGUGCGCAGGAAGCGUCGCAGGCGGUCGGGGGCAGGUCGGAGAGCAGCAGCUGCACAGCGCCCGCCCCGGGAACGCCGUGGGUGGGGAGCCGCAGCGUGCUGCGCCCGGCCGCGGCGAAGCGCGUGAAGAGGCGCGCCGCCCGCAGAGGGAAGCAGCGCGGCCGCCCCGCGGGCCCAGGCGCCUGCAGCCGCAGCAGCAACUCGCGGCGCUCGUUCCGUCCCAGGCUCAGCUCCGCGGUGCGUAAGGCCUGGCGCUUUCGCGGCUGCCCGCCCGGGCUCAACUCCUCCACAGCCACGCGGCACCGCAGCUCCGCGUCCUCGAAUUCCGCUGGCGCUGCCUGGGUGCCCGACAGCAUCGCCACUGCCUCCGCAGAUCUGCAAAAAGCCGGGAGCUCAGGGGUCACGAGGACUCAGUGGACCUAACAGGGAGCCCGAUCAAGGCCACAUAGGGUCACGGAGGCUGUCACCGGUAACACAAAGAGGUCGCGGAGACGGUAAAAGGGCCCUGGGAUCAACCGAAAUUCACGUAGACUCUCGUACACAGUAAUUUCCAGAGCGGUGAUGCGCAGCGUCAAAAGCACCCAGGAAUGGGGAGCCUCGGCUGUCGGACCAGAGCUGCGCAAGCAGGCUCCUCAACAAAAAAGAAGCCUUCUUGCAAGAAGCCCAGGGAGGGCGAGGGAAUCCUGAGUCCUCUCCCAAGGAAGCAGCGGAAGCUCAGGUGGAAAGAUGAGCAGGGACCUUCUGUCUUCCAGAUACUUUCAGUGGUUUGUAGGCAGCCAGGCCAAUCUCACUAUUCCCCGUGAACGGAAGUGGAAACAGACUGGGACAGGUUACAA